Molecule: long non-coding RNA, 1144 nt
Organism: Podarcis raffonei (Aeolian wall lizard)
Lineage: Eukaryota; Metazoa; Chordata; Lepidosauria; Squamata; Lacertidae
Exons: 2
Source: RefSeq, a predicted model, not a curated record
CCCAUGUAAAUCGGGAGUUGCCUGUAAUUUGCAACUCAGGGCAGUGUCAGACAGAAUGCUAAGCGGUUACAGACUGGACAUUUUAUCACACAUCUGCACUUGCUCAGGUAUCUUGGGGCAGAGAAAACCUACUCUGAAUGAUUUUGGCCAUGCGCAAUGGCUUAGUGAUAAGGUCAGGCAGGAAACACCAAUUCCUGGUGCUGUUUCUUCCCUUCCCCUUUUGUUUCAUCUCCCGGCCCCCACCCCAACAUGUCUGAAGAAAGAAAACAAAGACUGCAGACUCCUCUUCCUGCUCUUAUGAACCAAGCCUGAUUGCAUAGAAGAGUAAAGAGCGGCCCCUCCUGGCUCAAGGCACAACUCGGAUUGCAACUUGUGGAGAUUCCUUCCACUCCGCCCUCAACCUCUACUACGCAGCAAAUGGCAGAGAAAGGCGUUUUCGAGCAUGUGCAAUGAACUGCAUCAGUGGCAGCUUUGCAUUUGUGAUUCAGCUUUGCAAUUUUGAUUCACCGUUUACAGCAGCUGCCAGUGUGGGAUCUCAUUAAAACGAUACGGUGCGCAUCAAAUUUUGCAGGUGCAACUCUCUGCUUGGCAAGGAGUGCUGUACAGAGCUGCCAGAGAAUCAAUAGAACAACAACAAAUGACCAGAUUCACACACCAGCAGCCGGCUUCUGAGACCAAGAAUUUCAGAGCCUAGAAGAAUUAUGUACUUCCCAUUUUGACUAAUCGCUUCUGGCUGCAGUGGAGUCUUUUUAAGGAUGCUGAAUCUGUGUUAAGCAGCAAGAGAAACACUCUGGGCAGUGCUUAUGUCUACAUAACAAAUGGGCAAAAUUCCACUAUUCCUUCUAGAGUUCACUUCAGCCUCAUGUGCCUUUGUUUGCUGUGGGAAAAUGAGCUGCGCUGCAGACAUUGCCUCUUCUACCAGUGCAUUGCUAUGAUGGAAGGAACAGCAACACCCCACUUUUUAUGAAACUGUUAAUGGUCGUGUCCUGUAUCUUUCUUAAAACAACUUUUCAUGGGUUUUAUAAACAAGGAUCAUAAAAGGAUAAAUGAUACAAAUAAAUAGAUCAAGUCUUCUCAUGUCAUUUGUAUGUCACAAAAAUAGCACAAUAAAUUUGCAGUAAUAUCUACGACAUAUGGUUCAUUA